UAGGGAAUCUUCCACAAUGGACGCAAGUCUGAUGGAGCAACGCCGCGUGAGUGAAGAAGGUUUUCGGACCGUAAAGCUCUGUUGUUGGUGAAGAAGGAUAGAGGUAGUAACUGGCCCUUUAUUUGACGGUAAUCAACCAGAAAGUCACGGCUAACUACGUGCCAGCAGCCGCGGUAAUACGUAGGUGGCAAGCGUUGUCCGGAUUUAUUGGGCGUAAAGCGAGCGCAGGCGGAAGAAUAAGUCUGAUGUGAAAGCCCUCGGCUUAACCGAGGAAUUGCAUCGGAAAC
RNAcentral lists this ribosomal RNA (287 nucleotides) under uncultured bacterium. Its description in RNAcentral is "partial 16S ribosomal RNA". It matches the Rfam family "Bacterial small subunit ribosomal RNA", at positions 355 to 633 of the family's 1533-position model. The record is from RNAcentral.